AGGACAGCAGUCGCCACGGUAAUACGGAGGGUGCAAGCGUUAAUCGGAAUUACUGGGCGUAAAGCGCACGCAGGCGGUCUGACAAGUCAGAUGUGAAAUCCCCGGGCUUAACCUGGGAACUGCAUUUGAAACUGUCAGGCUGGAGUCUUGUAGAGGGGGGUAGAAUUCCAGGUGUAGCGGUGAAAUGCGUAGAGAUCUGGAGGAAUACCGGUGGCGAAGGCGGCCCCCUGGACAAAGACUGACGCUCAGGUGCGAAAGCGUGGGGAGCAAACAGGAUUAGAUACCCCUGUAGUCCCUGUCUCUUAUAC
This 308-nucleotide ribosomal RNA is filed under the name uncultured bacterium. Its description in RNAcentral is "partial 16S ribosomal RNA". It matches the Rfam family "Bacterial small subunit ribosomal RNA", at positions 504 to 807 of the family's 1533-position model. The record is from RNAcentral.